GAUGAACGCUGGCGGCGUGCCUAAUACAUGCAAGUCGAGCGAACAGAUAAGGAGCUUGCUCCUUUGACGUUAGCAGCGGACGGGUGAGUAACACGUGGGUAACCUACCUAUAAGACUGGGAUAACUUCGGGAAACCGGAGCUAAUACCGGAUAACAUUUGGAACCGCAUGGUUCUAAAGUGAAAGAUGGUUUUGCUAUCACUUAUAGAUGGACCCGCGCCGUAUUAGCUAGUUGGUAAGGUAACGGCUUACCAAGGCGACGAUACGUAGCCGACCUGAGAGGGUGAUCGGCCACACUGGAACUGAGACACGGUCCAGACUCCUACGGGAGGCAGCAGUAGGGAAUCUUCCGCAAUGGGCGAAAGCCUGACGGAGCAACGCCGCGUGAGUGAUGAAGGGUUUCGGCUCGUAAAACUCUGUUAUUAGGGAAGAACAAACGUGUAAGUAACUGUGCACGUCUUGACGGUACCUAAUCAGAAAGCCACGGCUAACUACGUG
RNAcentral lists this ribosomal RNA (497 nucleotides) under uncultured bacterium. RNAcentral describes it as "partial 16S ribosomal RNA". It matches the Rfam family "Bacterial small subunit ribosomal RNA", at positions 28 to 507 of the family's 1533-position model. The record is from RNAcentral.